This 241-nucleotide ribosomal RNA is filed under the name uncultured bacterium. Its description in RNAcentral is "partial 16S ribosomal RNA". It matches the Rfam family "Bacterial small subunit ribosomal RNA", at positions 15 to 248 of the family's 1533-position model. The record is from RNAcentral.
GAUCCUGGUUCAGGAUGAACGCUAGCUACAGGCUUAACACAUGCAAGUCGAGGGGCAGCAUCAUCAAAGCUUGCUUUGAUGGAUGGCGACCGGCGCACGGGUGAGUAACACGUAUCCAACCUGCCGACAACACUGGGAUAGCCUUUCGAAAGAAAGAUUAAUACCGGAUGGCAUAGUUUUCCCGCAUGGGAUAAUUAUUAAAGAAUUUCGGUUGUCGAUGGGGAUGCGUUCCAUUAGGCAG